UACGGGGGGGGUAAGCGUUGUUCGGAAUUACUGGGCGUAAAGGGCUCGUAGGCGGCCAACUAAGUCAUACGUGAAAUCCCUCAGCUUAACUGGGGAACUGCGUGUGAUACUGGAUGGCUUGGAUUUGGGAGAGGGAUGCGGAAUUCCAGGUGUAGCGGUGAAAUGCGUAGAUAUCUGGAGGAACACCGGUGGCGAAGGCGGCAUCCUGGACCAAUAUUGACACUGAGACCCGAAAGCGUGGGGAUCAAACAGG
RNAcentral lists this ribosomal RNA (253 nucleotides) under uncultured bacterium. RNAcentral's name for it is "partial 16S ribosomal RNA". It matches the Rfam family "Bacterial small subunit ribosomal RNA", at positions 524 to 776 of the family's 1533-position model. The record is from RNAcentral.